RNAcentral lists this transfer RNA (71 nucleotides) under Stegodyphus mimosarum. It matches the Rfam family "tRNA". From Rfam's summary of the family: Transfer RNA (tRNA) molecules are approximately 80 nucleotides in length. Their secondary structure includes four short double-helical elements and three loops (D, anti-codon, and T loops). Lineage: Eukaryota; Metazoa; Arthropoda; Arachnida; Araneae; Eresidae. The record is from Rfam by way of RNAcentral.
GCUUUCGUGGCGUAACGGUAGUACACUCGACACGUAUUCGAGAGGUCCAGGUUCGAGUCACGGCGAGGGCA